GACGAACGCUGGCGGCGUGCUUAACACAUGCAAGUCGAACGGAAAGGCCCUGCUUUUGUGGGGUGCUCGAUUGGCGAACGGGUGAGUAACACGUGAGGAACCUGCCCUUGACUUUGGGAUAACUUCAGGAAACUGGGGCGAAUACCGGAUAGGAGCUCCUGCUGCAUGGAGGGGGUUGGAAAGUUUCGGCGGUUGGGGCUGGACUCGCGGCUUAUCAGCUUGUUGGGGUGGUAGUGGCUUACCAAGGCUUUGACGGGUAGCCGGCCUGAGAGGGUGACCGGGCACAUUGGUACUGAGAUACGGCCCAGACUCCUACGGGAGGCAGCGGUGGGGAAUAUUGCACAAUGGGCGGAAGCCAGAUGCAGCAACGCUGCGUGCGGGAUGACGUCCUUCGGGUUGUAAACAGCUUUGGACUGUGACGAAGCGUGAGUGACGGUAAUGGGUAAAGAAGCACCGGCUAACUACGUG
Molecule: ribosomal RNA, 468 nt
Filed under: uncultured bacterium
Lineage: Bacteria
Description: partial 16S ribosomal RNA
Rfam family: Bacterial small subunit ribosomal RNA
Source: RNAcentral